AUGAAUUGGUUUGUUUGUAGGA
Molecule: non-coding RNA, 22 nt
Filed under: Arabidopsis thaliana (thale cress)
Lineage: Eukaryota; Viridiplantae; Streptophyta; Magnoliopsida; Brassicales; Brassicaceae
Source: RNAcentral